Small nucleolar RNA from Zingiber officinale, 106 nucleotides. NCBI's taxonomy places the organism in Eukaryota, Viridiplantae, Streptophyta, Magnoliopsida, Zingiberales, Zingiberaceae. The record is from RefSeq and is a predicted model, not a curated record.
AAGUCAUGGUGUGGGCAUAGUCUGAACAUAUUUUUGAAUCUAUCUCACGCUUCAUAGAGAGAUUCAGUGUCAGAGUGUCUGAAGUUAGCAAUUAAAUUCCGUAUAU